This 254-nucleotide ribosomal RNA is filed under the name uncultured bacterium. RNAcentral's name for it is "partial 16S ribosomal RNA". It matches the Rfam family "Bacterial small subunit ribosomal RNA", at positions 524 to 776 of the family's 1533-position model. The record is from RNAcentral.
UACGAAGGGGGCUAGCGUUGUUCGGAAUUACUGGGCGUAAAGCGCACGUAGGCGGAUUGUUAAGUUAGGGGUGAAAUCCCAGGGCUCAACCCUGGAACUGCCUUAAGUACUGGGCAAUCUCGAGUCCGAGAGAGGUGAGUGGAAUUCCGAGUGUAGAGGUGAAAUUCGUAGAUAUUGGGAAGAACACCGGUGGCGAAGGCGGCUCACUGGCUCAUUUCUGACGCUCAGGCGCGACAGCGUGGGGAUCAAACAGG